GACGAACGCUGGCGGCGUGCUUAACACAUGCAAGUCGAACGGAAAGGCCCUGCUUUUGUGGGGUGCUCGAGUGGCGAACGGGUGAGUAACACGUGAGUAACCUGCCCUUGACUUUGGGAUAACUUCAGGAAACUGGGGCUAAUACCGGAUAGGAGCUUCUGCUGCAUGGUGGGGGUUGGAAAGUUUCGGCGGUUGGGGAUGGACUCGCGGCUUAUCAGCUUGUUGGUGGGGUAGUGGCUUACCAAGGCUUUGACGGGUAGCCGGCCUGAGAGGGUGUCCGGCCACAUUGGGACUGAGAUACGGCCCAGACUCCUACGGGAGGCAGCAGUGGGGAAUAUUGCACAAUGGGCGGAAGCCUGAUGCAGCAACUCCGCGUGCGGGAUGACGGCCUUCGGGUUGUAAACCGCUUUCGCCUGUGACGAAGCGUGAGUGACGGUAAUGGGUAAAGAAGCACCGGCUAACUACGUG
RNAcentral lists this ribosomal RNA (468 nucleotides) under uncultured bacterium. RNAcentral describes it as "partial 16S ribosomal RNA". It matches the Rfam family "Bacterial small subunit ribosomal RNA", at positions 28 to 507 of the family's 1533-position model. The record is from RNAcentral.